Molecule: long non-coding RNA, 2269 nt
Organism: Mesocricetus auratus (golden hamster)
Lineage: Eukaryota; Metazoa; Chordata; Mammalia; Rodentia; Cricetidae
Exons: 3
Source: RefSeq, a predicted model, not a curated record
CACACACACACACACACACACACACACAUACCAUGCCUCUCUGUUUCUGUCUCUCUUUUCUCUCUCCGUCCUGCUGUACUCCGGGAGACUGGCGUGCUGUGGUCCUCUUGGUGAUUUAGCCCAUUCCCCAUGCCCAGCUCCAGCCUUACUCUUUCCCGCCGCUCUGGAAGUUCUUCUUCCCCGCUUUCCAGGUCUGGACAAACAGCGCUUUUCUCUCAGCUGAAAGAGGUCCCUGGAGCACAGAAGCCCAGACCUCCUCCCAGCUGCCUGUGGCUUCCUGGCAGAGGCACCCUGGCUGUGCUGAGGCUAGGGUGGACCCUGGAGACACACCCUCCCUUCCUAGGACUAGCAGCCACUGAGAGUCUCCCUCAAGGUGCCCGUUGUUGGCGGACCACACCCGGCUGCCUGAGGUGUUUAGAAACUGCUCUGAGAGGCUUCUUUGAACACGAUGGUGGGCUCAGCAGCCGGGGCCACCUGCACUUAAAAACCGCUGUGGCUUUACUGGGGAUGUGCUGGGAUGGCUUUCAGCUUGGCCUCAAAGGCCCGCUUCCCACAGAGGCUCAAAGCUUCCAUUCACGGUGACAGUGGCCCCUUUCCAUUCCAGGCCUCCACUGGGAGGUGCCUUUAGCUGGCGUUUCACUGUAGACAGUGAAGGGUAGGAAAUUAAAUGCCAUGUCCCCCGGCACUUGGAGGUGGCCAUCACUCGUCCGGGUUGAAUGGAGAUGGCUGUGGGCUGUGUGUCUGUGUCUUUCUGUCUGGCUGCAUAUUUAGUAUGAGGUUGAAAUGAUCUGGUUCCUCUGGACUCCACCUCUCAGAUGCUAGGAUGGAAAGUGACCAAGUCCACGCUUCCCACUCGGACAGCACGCAAGACGCGUCAACAAUAGAAAGAGCAGGGCCAGUGUUUGUUGAAUGAAGAAGCAAUUCAAAAUGUAUCAGCCGGCUCGUCUGUUUCUCCUGGCCACUUUCCAGUCAGGGGAACUUAGGGGAGGACUGGAUGGAUGCGAGAGAGGCUUGGAGGGCAGGUCAGGUCCCAGUGGCUGGCAGGGAAGUCUGCAGUGUGACUAGGCCUUUCCACUCUCCAGUCUAACUCUGGGCCCCUGAUGGCCAUAAAAUCACUCUGCUUAGACUGGCAACAUUUUCCUUUAAUAUGUUCCUGAAGGCUCUGGCAGGACCUAGAGGAAAAUUCCAGAGUAACAAGAAGAGAGCUCUUUCACAUCUUGGGGACCAAUAGGGGCGGGACCCAGGGGCACCCGGCAGCCCUGGGUCAGUGGUUCUCUGCCCAUUGUCUGGUAGAGGGACAGACAGACCUCCCUGAUGUCUGUGGUGUGGGGAUGGCAGGCGGCCUGGCCUCUUCUCCACGGGAAUUCAUAUAAAACUGCAUCAAGGUGUUUCUACCAAGUGUGCGAUGGAGCCUGGCACGUGUUACAUGGCCUGCACAUCUGUGGGGACACUCCCAUCACCCCCAAUCUCCCCCAGCUCAGAAACAAUGCCUCCUUCUCUCUCCAGGUCUCCCCACGCCGGACCCUGGCUCAGCACUGCCUGUGGCCAGCUGACUCUUUCCUUCCUCCAGUCACAGAGCAGAGGACCCUCUUCAUGACCUCCCAUAGCUGCCUGUGCACCCCAUCACCACUCAAACAAGCCUGCAUUGGCUAAAGGAACCAUGGAGGCAGGGAGACAGAACUUUCUAGGCAGAGACGAUGACAGCAGCUUGUGCAAAGGCCCUGGGGUCAGGAAGUGCGGCCGGCGGAGGAGCUGCAGGUGUGGACUGAGUCAAGCCUCACCGACAAAGGCCUGGCUGGUGUCCGUUGUGGCGAGGCGGCAGAGGCUUGCCACGCUGACCUCUGACCUCCACACUGAAGGGAAGAGGCCUGUGCUUUCCUCAUCCUGGAUCUGUGUGUUGUAGCUGGAUGCCAGGACCAAGUCUAAAACCCAGAUGUGGCAUCGGCUGAGACCCUGGGACAGUGGCAAGGUGGGCUGAGCUCGGAAGGUGCGGCCUCUGUGUGGUGCUGAUGGCAGCCCCGUUGGUAGUAGAAACUUUCCCUGUUACUAGGCUGUGUUGUUGCCCGCUGAGACCCCAACCCUGAGAAAAACAGGCCCACCGCUGUCGGGGGAGGGUGGGGUGAGAUGGGGGUGAGGAGGCCAGCAGAUUAGAACCAAGCGUCAGCCACAACAUCUUUGGGCUCUGCAGAGGCAAGCUACGUGUUUACCCAGGAUCUCAAGGUGAAGUUUCAGCUGACCCCGGCACAACACAGUAAAAUUUGAAAUUGAA